GACGAACGCUGGCGGCGUGCCUAAUACAUGCAAGUAGAACGCUGAGGUUUGGUGUUUACACUAGACUGAUGAGUUGCGAACGGGUGAGUAACGCGUAAGUAACCUGCCUCAUAGCGGGGGAUAACUAUUGGAAACGAUAGCUAAUACCGCAUAAGAGUAAUUAACACAUGUUGGUUAUUUAAAAGGAGCAAUUGCUUCACUGUGAGAUGGACCUGCGUUGUAUUAGCUAGUUGGUGAGGUAAAGGCUCACCAAGGCGACGAUACAUAGCCGACCUGAGAGGGUGAUCGGCCACACUGGGACUGAGACACGGCCCAGACUCCUACGGGAGGCAGCAGUAGGGAAUCUUCGGCAAUGGACGGAAGUCUGACCGAGCAACGCCGCGUGAGUGAAGAAGGUUUUCGGAUCGUAAAGCUCUGUUGUUAGAGAAGAACGUUGGUAGGAGUGGAAAAUCUACCAAGUGACGGUAACUAACCAGAAAGGGACGGCUAACUACGUGCCAGCAGCCGCGGUAAUACGUAGGUCCCGAGCGUUGUCCGGAUUUAUUGGGCGUAAAGCGAGCGCAGGCGGUUCUUUAAGUCUGAAGUUAAAGGCAGUGGCUUAACCAUUGUACGCUUUGGAAACUGGAGGGCUUGAGUGCAGAAGGGGAGAGUGGAAUUCCAUGUGUAGCGGUGAAAUGCGUAGAUAUAUGGAGGAACACCGGUGGCGAAAGCGGCUCUCUGGUCUGUAACUGACGCUGAGGCUCGAAAGCGUGGGGAGCAAACAGG
RNAcentral lists this ribosomal RNA (765 nucleotides) under uncultured Streptococcus sp. RNAcentral describes it as "bacterial SSU rRNA". It matches the Rfam family "Bacterial small subunit ribosomal RNA", at positions 28 to 776 of the family's 1533-position model. Lineage: Bacteria; Bacillati; Bacillota; Bacilli; Lactobacillales; Streptococcaceae. The record is from RNAcentral.